Homo sapiens (human) is the source of this 897-nucleotide RNA transcript. It is a transcript of the gene named N-sulfoglucosamine sulfohydrolase, with no coding region annotated. The record is from RefSeq and is marked reviewed. NCBI's taxonomy places the organism in Eukaryota, Metazoa, Chordata, Mammalia, Primates, Hominidae.
GAAUUCUAGACAUACGUGGUCUGCGGACAGGGCAGCGCCCCCAGCCCAUGACAAGGGAGUCUUGUUUUCUGGCUUGGUUUGGGGACCUGCAAAUGGGAGGCCUGAGGCCCUCUUCAGGCUUUGGCAGCCACAGAUACUUCUGAACCCUUCACAGAGAGCAGGCAGGGGCUUCGGUGCCGCGUGGGCAGUACGCAGGUCCCACCGACACUCACCUGGGAGCACGGCGCCUGGCUCUUACCAGCGUCUGGCCUAGAGGAAGCCUUUGAGCGACCUUUGGGCAGGUUUCUGCUUCUUCUGUUUUGCCCCAUGGUCAAGUCCCUGUUCCCCAGGCAGGUUUCAGCUGAUUGGCAGCAGGCUCCCUGAGUGAUGAGCUUGAACCUGUGGUGUUUCUGGGCAGAAGCUUAUCUUUUUUGAGAGUGUCCGAAGAUGAAGGCAUGGCGAUGCCCGUCCUCUGGCUUGGGUUAAUUCUUCGGUGACACUGGCAUUGCUGGGUGGUGAUGCCCGUCCUCUGGCUUGGGUUAAUUCUUCGGUGACACUGGCGUUGCUGGGUGGCAAUGCCCAUCCUCUGCCUUGGGUUAAUUCUUCGGUGACACUGGCGUUGCUGGGUGGCGAUGCCCGUCCUCUGGCUUGGGUUAAUUCUUGGAUGACGUCGGCGUUGCUGGGAGAAUGUGCCGUUCCUGCCCUGCCUCCACCCACCUCGGGAGCAGAAGCCCGGCCUGGACACCCCUCGGCCUGGACACCCCUCGAAGGAGAGGGCGCUUCCUUGAGUAGGUGGGCUCCCCUUGCCCUUCCCUCCCUAUCACUCCAUACUGGGGUGGGCUGGAGGAGGCCACAGGCCAGCUAUUGUAAAAGCUUUUUAUUUUAGUAAAAUAUACAGAAGUUCUUUUUCUGAACUCA